Molecule: ribosomal RNA, 895 nt
Filed under: Macrostylis sp. MLpap
Lineage: Eukaryota; Metazoa; Arthropoda; Malacostraca; Isopoda; Macrostylidae
Description: bacterial SSU rRNA
Rfam family: Eukaryotic small subunit ribosomal RNA
Source: RNAcentral
GUAACGGGGAAUCAGGGUUCGAUUCCGGAGAGGGAGCCUGAGAAACGGCUACCACAUCUAAGGAAGGCAGCAGGCACGCAAAUUACCCACUCCCAGCCCGGGGAGGUAGUGACGAAAAAUAACGAUGCGAGACUCUUCCGAGGCCUCGCAAUCGGAAUGAGUCCAUCCUAAAUCUUUGGACGAGGAUCCAUUGGAGGGCAAGUCUGGUGCCAGCAGCCGCGGUAAUUCCAGCUCCAAUAGCGUAUAUUAAAGUUGCUGCGGUUAAAAAGCUCGUAGUUGGACUUUCUAGAUCCAUUUCGUGGGUGAGUCGCUUGUUGUACUAGCGAUUCGCGUCAGUCACUAGAUAAUGUCGAGUUUCGGCGGCGAGUACUUCUACUAAGUUGGCUUCGGCUUUCUAUAGGGGAGCCGUCGUCGUUUCGCGGUAAACUUUCUAGCGGACGGUGUUUCUCGGUCUUCGGGUAUAGCUCGCCCGCGUUUGGUACAAUUAAAAUUUUGUCGGCUCGCUCGGAGUGCUCUUUACCGAGUGUUCCAGGGUGGCCGACACGUUCACUUUGAAAAAAUUAGAGUGCUUAAAGCGGGCUGUAAAAACGGCCGGAAUGUCUGUGCAUGGAAUGAAGUAACAGGACCUCGAUUCUGUUCUUUUUGUCGGUUUUAAUGAACCGAGGUAAUGAUUAAAAGGGACAGACGGUGGCAUUAGUAUUGCGACGCUAGAGGUGAAAUUCUUGGACCGUCGCAAGACUAACUACUGCGAAAGCAUUUGCCGAGAAUGUUUUCAUUAAUCAAGAACGAAAGUUAGAGGAUCGAAGGCGAUCAGAUACCGCCCUAGUUCUAACCCUAAACUAUGCUAACUAGCGAUCCGCCGAAGUCAUUCCCACGACUCGGCGGGAAGCCCCAG